GCCCCGAUAGUGUAGUACGGCCUAUCAUCUUCGGCUGUCACCCGAUGGACACGGGUUCGAAUCCCGUUCGGGGCGCCA
RNAcentral lists this transfer RNA (78 nucleotides) under Candidatus Heimdallarchaeota archaeon. Its description in RNAcentral is "tRNA-Asp". It matches the Rfam family "tRNA". Rfam says of the family: Transfer RNA (tRNA) molecules are approximately 80 nucleotides in length. Their secondary structure includes four short double-helical elements and three loops (D, anti-codon, and T loops). Lineage: Archaea; Promethearchaeati; Candidatus Heimdallarchaeota. The record is from RNAcentral.